CCUACGGGAGGCAGCAGUGGGGGAUAUUGCACAAUGGGGGAAACCCUGAUGCAGCGACGCCGCGUGAGUGAAGAAGUCUUUCUGUAUGUAAAGCUCUAUCAGUAGGGAAGAAAAUUACAGUACCUGACCAAUAACCCCCGGCUCACUACGUUCCAGCAGCCGCGGGAACACGUCGGGGGCAAGCGUUAUCCGGAUUUACUGGGCGUAAAGGGGGCGUAGACGGUUAUGUAAGUCUGGAGUGAAAGCCCGGGGCCCAACCCCGGGACUGCUUUUGAAACUGUGUAACUGGAGUACAGGAGGGGCAGGCGGAAUGCGUGGUGUAGCGGUGAAAUGCGUAGAUAGCAGGAAGAACACCGGCGGCGAAGGCGGCCUGCUGGACUGAAACUGACGUUGAGGCUCGAAAGCGUGGGGAGCAAACAGGAUUAGAUACCCUUGUAGUC
Molecule: ribosomal RNA, 440 nt
Filed under: uncultured bacterium
Lineage: Bacteria
Description: partial 16S ribosomal RNA
Rfam family: Bacterial small subunit ribosomal RNA
Source: RNAcentral